This is a non-coding RNA of Mycena crocata, 94 nucleotides long. The record is from the annotation of a GenBank genome assembly. NCBI's taxonomy places the organism in Eukaryota, Fungi, Basidiomycota, Agaricomycetes, Agaricales, Mycenaceae.
GCCGCUUUGGAUCAGUGGUUAAAUCGUUGCGGAUUCAUGGGGUAUUUGAGAAAUUAUUCCUGCAAAGGCACAGGUUCGAAACCUGUAGGCGGCA